Agrilus planipennis (emerald ash borer) is the source of this 556-nucleotide long non-coding RNA. RefSeq lists it as uncharacterized. The record is from RefSeq and is a predicted model, not a curated record. Lineage: Eukaryota; Metazoa; Arthropoda; Insecta; Coleoptera; Buprestidae. The transcript has 2 exons.
AAACACUUUUAUUAUACGUAUUUAUUAAUGGUAAUUUUAAAAUGGCAAUUUUAAACUAAUUCGUUUAAAUUUAAAAUUAAUCACAUUUCGUCGUAGUAUUCAUCUAUCCGUAUUUCAUAACAUAAACUAGAAAAAAUUACAUACCUAUUGCUGUGCUGAAAUCAUGAAUCCGGUUUCGGCUUUAGCGAAAAUUUUGGCAAGAUUUGAAUAUGGAAUAUUUGGUAAUCAGGCAUUGCUUUUUUUAAAACAUUUUAGGCGUGGAAGAUUCCGGGUCAUCUUGGGCAAAUAGGGUUUAUAACUUCAAUGUCCGAACAUUUCUGUGGAAGCUGCAACAGAUUACGAAUUACAGCAGAUGGAAAUUUAAAAGUUUGCCUUUUUGGAAAUACUGAAAUUUCCUUAAGAGACGCUCUCCGAGCAGGUUGCAGUGACGACGAUCUUGUAACUUUAAUUUCAGCAGCUGUUAAGAGGAAAAAGAAACAACACGCAGGCAUGUUAAAUCUAUUAAAUAUGGAAAAUAGACCUAUGAUACUAAUAGGAGGAUAACCAUAAUUAGUAG